This 335-nucleotide small nuclear RNA is filed under the name Erinaceus europaeus (western European hedgehog). RNAcentral's name for it is "7SK RNA". It matches the Rfam family "7SK RNA". From Rfam's summary of the family: 7SK was discovered as an abundant small nuclear RNA in the mid-70s but a possible function has only recently been suggested. Two independent studies have found that 7SK RNA binds the CDK9/cyclin T complex (known as elongation factor P-TEFb). P-TEFb activates transcription by phosphorylating the C-terminal domain of RNA polymerase II. Lineage: Eukaryota; Metazoa; Chordata; Mammalia; Eulipotyphla; Erinaceidae. The record is from Rfam by way of RNAcentral.
AGAUGUGAAGGCGAUCUGACUGCGACAUCGGUCACCCCAUUGAUUGCCUGGGUUGGUUCGGCUGAUCUGGCUGGCUAGGCAGGUGUCCCCUUCCUCCCUCACCACUCCAUGUGCGUCCCUCCCUCCCGAAGCUGCUAACUCAGUCAAAGAGGACGGCUUUUCCCAACAGAGACGGACCAGUCUUCGGUUGAGGGUAUACGAGUAGCUGCGCUCCCCUGCUAGAACCUCCAAACAAGCUCUCCAGGUCCAUGUGUAGGAGAACGUAGGGUAGUCAAGCUUCCAAGACUCCAGACACAUCUAAAUGAGGCGCUGCAUGUGGAAGUUUGCCUUUAAAG